RNAcentral lists this ribosomal RNA (504 nucleotides) under uncultured bacterium. Its description in RNAcentral is "partial 16S ribosomal RNA". It matches the Rfam family "Bacterial small subunit ribosomal RNA", at positions 30 to 523 of the family's 1533-position model. The record is from RNAcentral.
AUUGAACGCUGGCGGCAUGCCUUACACAUGCAAGUCGAACGGCAGCAUGGAGAGCUUGCUCUCUGAUGGCGAGUGGCGAACGGGUGAGUAAUGCAUCGGAACGUACCGUGUAAUGGGGGAUAACGUAGCGAAAGUUACGCUAAUACCGCAUACGACCUGAGGGUGAAAGCAGGGGAUCGCAAGACCUUGCGUUAUACGAGCGGCCGAUGUCAGAUUAGCUAGUUGGUGAGGUAAAGGCUCACCAAGGCGACGAUCUGUAGCGGGUCUGAGAGGAGGAUCCGCCACACUGGGACUGAGACACGGCCCAGACUCCUGCGGGAGGCAGCAGUGGGGAAUUUUGGACAAUGGGGGCAACCCUGAUCCAGCCAUGCCGCGUGAGUGAAGAAGGCCUUCGGGUUGUAAAGCUCUUUCGGCCGGGAAGAAAUCGCACAGGCUAAUACUCUGUGUGGAUGACGGCACCGGCAUAAGAAGCACCGGCUAACUACGUGCCAGCAGCCGCCGUAA